GGCGGCGUAGCUCAGGGGUAGAGCAGAGGACUCAUAAGCCUUUGGUCGGAGGUUCAAUUCCUCCCGCCGCCA
This is a transfer RNA of 72 nucleotides. It matches the Rfam family "tRNA". From Rfam's summary of the family: Transfer RNA (tRNA) molecules are approximately 80 nucleotides in length. The record is from Rfam.